This 339-nucleotide long non-coding RNA is filed under the name Gossypium raimondii (Peruvian cotton). RNAcentral describes it as "long non-coding RNA (GRAI_LNC010876)". The record is from RNAcentral. Lineage: Eukaryota; Viridiplantae; Streptophyta; Magnoliopsida; Malvales; Malvaceae.
UCAUUCAUUUUCUUUCCUUUUUUAUUUUAUCAUCUUUGUUGAUCUUGUUAUUCAAUCUUCAUAUUUUUCUAGAAAACAUCACAAACCCAGUUGUUCAUCUUUCUCAAUAAUCUUUUGCCUCUCUAUAGGUUAUGAUAGUUUAGUAUGCUUUCCCCCUCCAUUUGAUUAUCCUUUUUGUAAAAAUUUGAAAAUUUACAUCAUCACAAAUUUCUUUAACUAAAACUCUAGGAUAUCUCUCCCUCUUUUAUUUUUGAGACUAUUUUUGGGGUUUUUUUAAGAUAAAUAAUCCAAUAGUAUUAAAAAAUUUAUAAAAAUGACCUAGUACUAUAUUAUUUAGGA